UACGAAGGGGGGCUAGCGUUGCUCGGAAUCACUGGGCGUAAAGCGCACGUAGGCGGAUUGUUAAGUCAGUGGUGAAAGCCCGGAGCUCAACUCCGGAACUGCCAUUGAAACUGUAAGACUUGAGGAUGAGAGAGGUGAGUGGAAUUCCCAGUGUAGAGGUGAAAUUCGUAGAUAUUGGGAAGAACACCGGUGGCGAAGGCGGCUCACUGGCUCAUUACUGACGCUCAGGCGCGACAGCGUGGGGAUCAAACAGG
This 254-nucleotide ribosomal RNA is filed under the name uncultured bacterium. Its description in RNAcentral is "partial 16S ribosomal RNA". It matches the Rfam family "Bacterial small subunit ribosomal RNA", at positions 524 to 776 of the family's 1533-position model. The record is from RNAcentral.